CUGAUUCUUUUCUGGUAAAGACAUGGUACAGUAAAGUGAAUACAUUUAGCUUUAAUGAACAAAUGUGCAUGCAGAGCAGUUACUUAUAAAACUUAGAAAGGAAAAUAUUCCCUUAAGCGCCGUGUGAAACUCCAUUACUCUGUUGCAUCAUUAAUGAAUGAUUUCUGCUUGGAAUUUACAUAAAUCAAAGGAACCGGAGCUCCUCUGUGCUCCCCGUUCAGUAUAACCUCUGAAUACACAUGCAUAUUUCAUGCUUACUAAAAGAUUAACAGGAACAUUUGUAAAGAUCGAUUUAAAACAUGGCGCCUUCUGGUAUUUUUAGUGCAAUUCAUGAACAUGAGCAAAGACGUAACACGUGAAAAGAAGAACGAGUGCAGAGCAUGGUGUGUUUCGGCUCAAACCUGCAGGGGCAGGGUAUACUUUUAUUUAAACAUAGGUCAAGUCAGAACCUCCUGGUAGAGGCAACCAGGUUUUGAGCUGAAAUAUCCUUCUAGGUGAGAACUCAUGAGGCAAUAAAGCUUCACAAGAAUCUGAACCAGAACCUCCAGCUACAAAACAGCCCCAACGUAUCAAUCUUACACCUCCGUAUUUUACAGUGGAGUAUCAGAUGCUUUGCCUUGUACGCAGUCCCCUCUUUACACCGAUGGAAAGUCUUCUUUCUUCCAAACAGCCACUAAAAUCGACUACAUUUUGAAACUGUGAUUUAUAGACUCCUUUUUCCUUCCUUCACCACCACCGUGCUGCUCGCUCCAAACACCAAAUUUCAGAUGUUUCCGAAAGAUGACACUUUUUUUUUUUUUUUUUUUUUUUUUUCUCUCUGUGGCUGUAAAUGUGCUUCCUGGUAUUUUAAACUGGCUGUGUAGUUUU
This is a long non-coding RNA of Ictalurus punctatus (channel catfish), 867 nucleotides long. The record is from Ensembl. Lineage: Eukaryota; Metazoa; Chordata; Actinopteri; Siluriformes; Ictaluridae.